This 1203-nucleotide ribosomal RNA is filed under the name Staphylococcus aureus. RNAcentral's name for it is "partial 23S ribosomal RNA". It matches the Rfam family "Bacterial large subunit ribosomal RNA", at positions 513 to 1720 of the family's 2925-position model. Lineage: Bacteria; Bacillati; Bacillota; Bacilli; Caryophanales; Staphylococcaceae. The record is from RNAcentral.
GGUGAAAAGCACCCCGGAAGGGGAGUGAAAUAGAACCUGAAACCGUGUGCUUACAAGUAGUCAGAGCCCGUUAAUGGGUGAUGGCGUGCCUUUUGUAGAAUGAACCGGCGAGUUACGAUUUGAUGCAAGGUUAAGCAGUAAAUGUGGAGCCGUAGCGAAAGCGAGUCUGAAUAGGGCGUUUAGUAUUUGGUCGUAGACCCGAAACCAGGUGAUCUACCCUUGGUCAGGUUGAAGUUCAGGUAACACUGAAUGGAGGACCGAACCGACUUACGUUGAAAAGUGAGCGGAUGAACUGAGGGUAGCGGAGAAAUUCCAAUCGAACCUGGAGAUAGCUGGUUCUCUCCGAAAUAGCUUUAGGGCUAGCCUCAAGUGAUGAUUAUUGGAGGUAGAGCACUGUUUGGACGAGGGGCCCCUCUCGGGUUACCGAAUUCAGACAAACUCCGAAUGCCAAUUAAUUUAACUUGGGAGUCAGAACAUGGGUGAUAAGGUCCGUGUUCGAAAGGGAAACAGCCCAGACCACCAGCUAAGGUCCCAAAAUAUAUGUUAAGUGGAAAAGGAUGUGGCGUUGCCCAGACAACUAGGAUGUUGGCUUAGAAGCAGCCAUCAUUUAAAGAGUGCGUAAUAGCUCACUAGUCGAGUGACACUGCGCCGAAAAUGUACCGGGGCUAAACAUAUUACCGAAGCUGUGGAUUGUCCUUUGGACAAUGGUAGGAGAGCGUUCUAAGGGCGUUGAAGCAUGAUCGUAAGGACAUGUGGAGCGCUUAGAAGUGAGAAUGCCGGUGUGAGUAGCGAAAGACGGGUGAGAAUCCCGUCCACCGAUUGACUAAGGUUUCCAGAGGAAGGCUCGUCCGCUCUGGGUUAGUCGGGUCCUAAGCUGAGGCCGACAGGCGUAGGCGAUGGAUAACAGGUUGAUAUUCCUGUACCACCUAUAAUCGUUUUAAUCGAUGGGGGGACGCAGUAGGAUAGGCGAAGCGUGCGAUUGGAUUGCACGUCUAAGCAGUAAGGCUGAGUAUUAGGCAAAUCCGGUACUCAUUAAGGCUGAGCUGUGAUGGGGAGAAGACAUUGUGUCUUCGAGUCGUUGAUUUCACACUGCCGAGAAAAGCCUCUAGAUAGAAAAUAGGUGCCCGUACCGCAAACCGACACAGGUAGUCAAGAUGAGAAUUCUAAGGUGAGCGAGCGAACUCUCGUUAAGGAACUCGGCAA